This 253-nucleotide ribosomal RNA is filed under the name uncultured bacterium. RNAcentral describes it as "partial 16S ribosomal RNA". It matches the Rfam family "Bacterial small subunit ribosomal RNA", at positions 524 to 776 of the family's 1533-position model. The record is from RNAcentral.
UACGUAGGGGGCAAGCGUUGUCCGGAUUUAUUGGGCGUAAAGAGCGUGUAGGCGGCCAGGUAGGUCCGUUGUGAAAACUGGAGGCUUAACCUCCAGCUGUCGAUGGAAACCAUCUGGCUAGAGUCCGGAAGAGGAGAGUGGAAUUCCUGGUGUAGCGGUGAAAUGCGCAGAUAUCAGGAAGAACACCCGUGGCGAAGGCGGCUCUCUGGGACGGUACUGACGCUGAGACGCGAAAGCGUGGGGAGCGAUCAGG